Acipenser ruthenus (sterlet) is the source of this 1122-nucleotide long non-coding RNA. RefSeq lists it as uncharacterized. NCBI's taxonomy places the organism in Eukaryota, Metazoa, Chordata, Actinopteri, Acipenseriformes, Acipenseridae. The transcript is spliced from 3 exons. The record is from RefSeq and is a predicted model, not a curated record.
GUGAACUUGCUACUGGCUCUCCUGAAUCAUCCUAACGCAGGACCUAGAAGUCCAAGUCUAUAGACCCUGCCAACCUAAAUGAUAAAGCUGUGAGGCUUUGGAAAGCCUGAAUCAGGAUUCAGAGGUGGAUGUACAGCUGUCAGAAAGUGUGGAGUGGAGGUUCCUUAUCGUUCAACAGACAGGAGCAGAGGGGCCAGGUUUUCAUCUCUUUAACCAUGAAUUGCUAUGAAGAAGCCACCGUGUGGAAUGCAUGUCAGGACUGAAGUUCUUGGGACACCCAUCCUAAACGACGAAAUGAAAGCAGCGUUGACUCUCGUGGGGAUGAAGCCAGCCUCUACUGCAGUAUUAAUUAAAAGCAUUGCGCUGAUGGGUAAACCGGUUUUAUGACUUUAAUCAAAUAAGUCUCUUGUGGAAUGUUUCCAAAGAGUUUUAGUGAGCCUAUUAUAUCAUUUUAAUGAUCGUUUGUUUGGAAAUACAAUGUGUUAUAUUCAUCGGAGACUCCAGUCAAUCACUUACUCAAGGACAUCACGUUUAUUUAUUUUACUAAUCCUUUCAUUCGCUUCAAAGACAUUGCAAACACUUUUUUUAUUUUUUUUUAUUGAGCGAUUUAAAAGAGCUCUAUUUUUGUUAACAAUGAAUGAAAACCACAGAGGGCCUUUUGCCCUUCAUGUUGAGAGAAUAUUUUUUGUGUUUCAGUAAAUUUAUAAUUCAGAGCACCACUUGUGUUGCCAAAUGAUUCCUUUAAUAGUUGUAAUGGUUUCUGUGCAGACAUGUAUUAAAUAGCAGGGGUUCUGAUCAUGGACAUGAGUUCAAUUAACACUAGAACCACCACGGAACCACCACGGAACCACCAUGGAACAACCACGGAAUCACCACGGAACCACUAGAACCACCAUGCAGUCAUUUUGACGGAUUGAGGUUUUCAAAUUGAAAUUACUCUGCGUGUCUGAAAGUUAUGCAGUUGCCUGUUUAUGACUUUUCCUAAAUAUAUGUAUUAAAUACCCUGACUGUGUUUGAAAGGCAGGAUCACAAAAAUAUUACCAAGAUACUGAAUAUUAAAUGAUAAUAAAAGAAAUCAGCCAACAAAGCCAUGUUUGUAAUACAAUUGUGUCCAGUGAAGGA